AUGCAACCCCGGCGGCGCUUCAAUGCAGCUCCGGCGACGAUUCAAUGCAACUCCAGCUGCGCUUCAUUGGAACCCGACGAAGCGUUCAACGACGCCGCGGCGCUUCAUUGUAUCUCCGGCGGCCCCAUCGAUGCUCCACUGCAGCAACGUGCAUGGCGAGCUCUGUGGCAGCGCCGACGUCGGUGGAUGCUGGGACGCCGCGUGCGACGGCAAUGGUGGAUGCACCGACGCGACAACAACAACACAAGGCGGCACCGAUGGAUGCUUCGAUGCAGCCACCCACUAUCGACAGCAUGCGGCGGCUCCGGUGGAUGCCACGACGCGGUCCUGCUGUGGUUCUCAAUGGUGCCAUCCUCUCGAGCUUGCAUCAAUGGCAGCUACGGCCAUGGCUGGAUUGCAGCAACAGGGUGGCUAAUGGGGCAGGGUAGCAUCCAUGCGGCGUCGCUGGCGGUGCCUCCCGGUUCCCAUUUGUGGUGGUUGGUGGUGCUCGCCAUGGGAUUGACGGCCUCUCCUAUGGCAGUUAAGAACAAGGAAGAAAAGGGCAAAGAGAGAAAAUGA
Molecule: ribosomal RNA, 558 nt
Filed under: Triticum aestivum (bread wheat)
Lineage: Eukaryota; Viridiplantae; Streptophyta; Magnoliopsida; Poales; Poaceae
Description: partial small subunit ribosomal RNA
Source: RNAcentral